Molecule: ribosomal RNA, 430 nt
Filed under: bacterium enrichment culture
Lineage: Bacteria
Description: bacterial SSU rRNA
Rfam family: Bacterial small subunit ribosomal RNA
Source: RNAcentral
GCUAGAAAAUUGGGCAAUGGGGGAAACCCUGACCCAGUGACGCCGCGUGCAGGAAGAAGCCCUUCGGGGUGUAAACUGCUGUCGUGCGGGGCGAAGGGUCCAUAGGCGAAUAGCUUAUGGGCUUGACGGUACCGCAGGAGGAAGCCCAGGCUAACCUCGUGCCAGCAGCCGCGGUAAUACGGGGUGGGCGAGCGUUGCCCGGAAUUACUGGGUUUAAAGGGGGUGUAGGCGGUCCGGAGAGUCAGGUGUGUAAUCCAACCGCUCAACGGUUGGGCUGCACCUGAUACUUCCGGGCUAGAGGGCGGUAGAGGAGAGCGGAACUCCCGGUGUAGCGGUGAAAUGCGUAGAUAUCGGGAGGAACGCCGGUGGCGAAAGCGGCUCUCUGGGGCCGUUCCUGACGCUGAGGCCCCGAAAGCUGGGGGAGCGAAAG